CAGUCGCCACGGUAAUACGUAGGGUGCAAGCGUUAAUCGGAAUUACUGGGCGUAAAGCGUGCGCAGGCGGUUGCGUAAGACAGGUGUGAAAUCCCCGGGCUUAACCUGGGAACUGCGCUUGUGACUGCACAGCUAGAGUAUGGCAGAGGGGGGUGGAAUUCCACGUGUAGCAGUGAAAUGCGUAGAGAUGUGGAGGAACACCGAUGGCGAAGGCAGCCCCCUGGGCCAAUACUGACGCUCAUGCAUGAAAGCGUGGGGAGCAAACAGGAUUAGAUACCCCUGUAGUCCCUGUCUCUUAUAC
RNAcentral lists this ribosomal RNA (301 nucleotides) under uncultured bacterium. RNAcentral describes it as "partial 16S ribosomal RNA". It matches the Rfam family "Bacterial small subunit ribosomal RNA", at positions 509 to 807 of the family's 1533-position model. The record is from RNAcentral.